GUGAGGAAUAUUGGACAAUGGAUGGAAAUCUGAUCCAGCCAUGCCGCGUGCAGGAAGACGGCCCUAUGGGUUGUAAACUGCUUUUAUACGGGAGCAAUAAGGUCUAUGCAUAGAUUGAUGAGAGUACCGUAUGAAUAAGCAUCGGCUAACUCCGUGCCAGCAGCCGCGGUAAUACGGAGGAUGCGAGCGUUAUCCGGAUUUAUUGGGUUUAAAGGGUGCGUAGGCGGCUUUGUAAGUCAGCGGUGAAAUUUUGCAGCUUAACUGUAAAAGCGCCGUUGAUACUGUGAAGCUAGGAUCUGGUUGCUGUGGGCGGAAUGUGUGGUGUAGCGGUGAAAUGCAUAGAGAUCACACAGAAUAUCGAUUGCGAAGGCAGCUCACAAAGCCAAUAUUGACGCUGAGGCACGAAAGUGUGGGGAUCAAACAGGAUUAGAAACCCCUGUAGUCC
This 445-nucleotide ribosomal RNA is filed under the name uncultured bacterium. RNAcentral describes it as "partial 16S ribosomal RNA". It matches the Rfam family "Bacterial small subunit ribosomal RNA", at positions 354 to 796 of the family's 1533-position model. The record is from RNAcentral.